UACGUAGGCAGCGAGCGUUGUUCGGAAUUACUGGGCGUAAAGAGUGUGUAGGCGGUGCUCUAAGUUUGGUGUGAAAUCUCCCGGCUCAACUGGGAGGGUGCAUCGAAAACUGGAGUGCUCGAGGGUGGGAGAGGUAAGCGGAAUUCCUGGUGUAGCGGUGAAAUGCGUAGAUAUCAGGAGGAACACCUGUGGUGUAGACAGCUUACUGGACCACUUCUGACGCUGAGACACGAAAGCGUGGGUAGCAAACAGG
This 253-nucleotide ribosomal RNA is filed under the name uncultured bacterium. Its description in RNAcentral is "partial 16S ribosomal RNA". It matches the Rfam family "Bacterial small subunit ribosomal RNA", at positions 524 to 776 of the family's 1533-position model. The record is from RNAcentral.